RNAcentral lists this ribosomal RNA (253 nucleotides) under uncultured bacterium. RNAcentral's name for it is "partial 16S ribosomal RNA". It matches the Rfam family "Bacterial small subunit ribosomal RNA", at positions 524 to 776 of the family's 1533-position model. The record is from RNAcentral.
UACGGGGGGGGCAAGCGUUGUUCGGAAUCACUGGGCUUAAAGGGCGCGUAGGCGGGCUGUCAAGUCUGGGGUGAAAUCCCACGGCUCAACCGUGGAACUGCCUCAGAUACUGACGGCCUCGAGGGAGAUAGGGGCGAGCGGAACUGUGAGUGGAGCGGUGAAAUGCGUUGAUAUUCACAGGAACUCCGGUGGCGAAGGCGGCUCGCUGGAUCUCUUCUGACGCUGAGGCGCGAAAGCCAGGGGAGCAAACGGG